UAUACUGCAAGUCGAGCGAAUGGAUUAAGAGCUUGCUCUUAUGAAGUUAGCGGCGGACGGGUGAGUAACACGUGGGUAACCUGCCCAUAAGACUGGGAUAACUCCGGGAAACCGGGGCUAAUACCGGAUAACAUUUUGAACCGCAUGGUUCGAAAUUGAAAGGCGGCUUCGGCUGUCACUUAUGGAUGGACCCGCGUCGCAUUAGCUAGUUGGUGAGGUAACGGCUCACCAAGGCAACGAUGCGUAGCCGACCUGAGAGGGUGAUCGGCCACACUGGGACUGAGACACGGCCCAGACUCCUACGGGAGGCAGCAGUAGGGAAUCUUCCGCAAUGGACGAAAGUCUGACGGAGCAACGCCGCGUGAGUGAUGAAGGCUUUCGGGUCGUAAAACUCUGUUGUUAGGGAAGAACAAGUGCUAGUUGAAUAAGCUGGCACCUUGACGGUACCUAACCAGAAAGCCACGGCUAACUACGUGCCAGCAGCCGCGGUAAUACGUAGGUGGCAAGCGUUAUCCGGAAUUAUUGGGCGUAAAGCGCGCGCAGGUGGUUUCUUAAGUCUGAUGUGAAAGCCCACGGCUCAACCGUGGAGGGUCAUUGGAAA
RNAcentral lists this ribosomal RNA (601 nucleotides) under Bacillus sp. CH46a_2A. Its description in RNAcentral is "bacterial SSU rRNA". It matches the Rfam family "Bacterial small subunit ribosomal RNA", at positions 50 to 632 of the family's 1533-position model. Lineage: Bacteria; Bacillati; Bacillota; Bacilli; Caryophanales; Bacillaceae. The record is from RNAcentral.